ACUGGGUUGGAAACUGCCUUGGAGUGGUAGACUUCAUGGAGGGCAGCCUGUAGAGUGGUUUGGGUUAAGGCUAAAGCUGAGGCAUAAAGAGCUGUCUGUUUGAUGUAUGUACUGAGGAUACAGCUAUGUUCUACACUAAUAUUAAACUCCCGUGUUUCCCUUCAGCCCAUUGUUAAACGUGGGAUAUGAUGGUGUUACACUGGAAAUUUUUGUGGCACUUAUGUAAAGAGUAUAUGAAGAGCUACUUGUAUGUAUGUUGUUUACUCAUUCAUGACAAAAUAUCCACACAUUUAUGUAUACAGAAUUUAACUGUCUUGUUUGGGGAAUCUGUUCACAAUAAUUAUACGGUUAUUUAAUUAAUUACCUAUGUAUUUACUUUUAAGUAUCUGUAACAGUGUAUUUCUUCCAGACAAAAAUAUCUUUUUGCUUGGGGUUGCACAACACUCAAGUUAAUGAAACCUGGAUGGUUAAACCAUGGAGUUCAUUGUGCAGGGUGAUGUAUGUGCCUGGUUAGAGCAGUGGUCAGACAACAUCACAGGCAAAAAAGUACCACAGGGAUCUUUUAAACAUAAAGAUAAAACUUCAGCUAUUUCUGGGCUGCUUGUGAGAGGAAGCGGGAUAAACAUCACUGUAUAUUUGCCCUACUGCUGUAAUCUUUCCCCUGAGCUUUAUUAUUAACCAGUGUUAGAUACAGGACAUUGGGCUGUGGGUCUGUCCCAGUACAGCCAUCCUUGUGUUCUGUAGCUGGAUACAUGCUUAAGGGUACAUGCCAUUGGUAUCUCUGGAACAAACCUCUUCAGUUUAUCUUGGAGAACUAGAUGUGCUGCUUUGGCAAAACUGACAUACCUUCUUGAAAUCUUUUAACUGAGGGAAAAUGGUGGGGUGAUGAUGAAAUCUAGCUUUCUGCCUUUUUUUCAUAUGCUGCUAACAUGCUUCAGACACUUUAACUGAAGCAGCUCAGAAUUGUUCUCAGAUCCAAAGGUUUUUGAUUGGUGAGCAUGAGGUAACUUCAUUUGGAACUUGGUUUUGGAGUGUCAUCACUUGAAAAGCGAAUGGAAAAAUAAAUCUGCUUUAGAUUAAAGUAUUUAGUGUAUUGAGCAUAUGAGCAGCUUAAUUUCUCAAUGUUGUUUGUAUCAGCAGGGUGCUUUAUUCAGCUUCAAAAGCCAAGGAGAUGUAGAUUAACUUUGCCUGUGGUCCUUUGUAUCUUUGCAAAGCAAGAUAAAUUUGUCCUUCAAGGGUUGUAGUUCUUUUUGAGUGAUUUUCUAGCCUUUUACAUUCACCUUACUAAAGUUGUAAGCAGUUAAAAUAUCACAGCCAAGAAGGUCCAUUUCAGGACCCCUUCUAUGUGGUGUAGUGAAAAAGAUAAAGCUGGUCACCUUGUAAUGGAAGAAAAUGGAGCUGACCAUGACAUUGCUAUGGAAGGAUCUAAUGAUUUGUUCAUAGGCAACUGUAAUGGUACAGGAGAGUCAGAAACAAAGGAUCAAGUUUUUCAGCAUUUAACCUGCAUGGAUUCCAGGGAUCCAUUGUUUGGACAGUGUGACUCUCCUCCAGUCUUACCCAUCACAGUACACGUCUUGGGCUCUCCGUCAUCAGCUGUGCCUGCCCUGCCACCCCAGCCUCACUCCACAGAGGACUCCCACCUGGUGGACCAAACGGGGCAGCCUCUCUAUGAGCUGCAGCCCCUCGGAGGGCCCACUGCACCGAUGAUGAUUGUUGCCAGCCAGUCAGAAAAUGGACAGGUGCUGCAUGUCAUCCCUACUACCCAGCCAGGAAUGGCCCAAGUGAUUAUUCCUCAAGGCCAACUUUUGGAUGUGACCAGCACGCAGGAUGUUUCAGAGGAGAAGUGUGGUGAUGGGAACUUGCAGACUGUAGUGGUGGCCGCUAUAGCAGACAGUGGAAGCAGUUACAUUCUACAUCCACAGGCGUCUCUCACUGUAUCAAAAAAAACAACCACCAGGCUAGUGGAAGAUCCCUUUCCCAUCCCUCUCCAGCUGUUGCCACCAAAUACACCUGCAUGGGCACGCCGUCUCAGGAGCUGUGAGAAAAUUGGGGACUCAUACCGCGGCUAUUGUGUGAGCGAGACAGAAUUAGAGAGUGUUCUAACACUACACAAGCAGCAAACACAAAGUGUGUGGGGGACGCGCCAGUCUCCAAGCCCAGCCAAACCCGCCACACGGUUGAUGUGGAAAUCUCAGUAUGUCCCAUAUGAUGGGAUCCCCUUUGUCAAUGCAGGAAGCAGAGCCAUUGUAAUGGAGUGCCAAUAUGGGCCAAGGAGGAAAGGGUUCCAGCCCAAAAAAGCUGGUGAGCAGGAAGGCACCUCUUGCCAUCUGUACAAAGCCACUUGUCCAGCAAGGAUCUAUAUUAAAAAGGUUCAGAAGUUUCCGGAAUACAGGGUUUCUACUGACCCUAAAAUUGACAAGAAAAUCAUAAGAAUGGAGCAGGAGAAAGCAUUCAACAUGCUGAAGAAGAACUUGAUAGAUGCUGGUGGUGUCCUCAGGUGGUAUGUACAGUUACCCACUCAGCAAGCCCACCAAUAUCAUGAAAUGGAAACAUCCUGCCUCCCUUCUUCACCCUCCCAAUUUUCUGUGCCUUCUCCUGAGGAGGAGGAGGAAGUUCUUGGAGAUGAGAACUGUAUUCUGCCUUCCCGACUUCAUCCUCAAGUAGCAGACAAGAUCCGAGAACUGGUGUCUCAGGGAAUAGAGCAGGUCUAUGCAGUGAGGAAGCAACUGAGAAAGUAUGUGGAAAGAGAAUUAUUCAAGCCUGAUGAAGUGCCAGAAAGACAUAACCUGUCCUUCUUCCCCACUGUGAAUGACAUCAAGAACCACAUUCAUGAAGUGCAGAAGUCCCUCAGGAACGGCGAGAUGGUGUAUAAUUCAGGAAGUAUCCCAGCAACACUGCAGUGGACCACAGACAGUGGGAAUGUUCUCACAGAAACAGUGACUGUUACAUUUGCCUCUCCACCUUCAGAUGGGAGCUCAGAAGGGGAGUCACUUGUCACCAAAGCAGAAGCCAGUCAGAGUGGGGAGUCCUUGCUACCAGAAACAGCUCAGCUAUUAUCUUCCCUCUCUUCACUUCAACCCAAGAUAUUUGCACAACUUCAGGGAUUACAGCUGCAGUCAACUUUUACCUCCACAAAUGGAUCAACAGCCCUGAUAGCUGUAAAUAACCAUUCCUCUCCCAGCCCUGCAAGUCUCCUAGAUUCCACAGGGAGUGCAGUAACCAACCAUCCUCUAUUACUUAGUCAGGGACACAGUCUGCAAGCAGGUGCUGGCCUAACACAGCAUAGCACUACUACCUCUGCUUUUGGGACUCCACCUGGCCCCGAUCAGAAUCUGGUCACCAUGAGCCAGUUGGUAGCAGUUGGAGGGGUGGAUGACUCCAGAAGCCUAGGAGGAGGAGUCCGUCAGAUUCUCUUGGGAGAUGUACAGACUAUUCCAGUACGGAUUGUGGACAGCCAUCCAGCACUUGCUGAAGAAAAUGCAGAGGGAGUUAUCUGUGUGAGCCAAGUUAAACAAGAGCCAAGAGAAAAAGUAUUGUCUGUGGAGCCAGAUAAAAUCAGAGGCUGCCGUAGUUCCUCACCUGUUUAAAUCUGUGAAGGCUGGAAGGAUUUUUCAAAUCGGAGAACUCCACAUGGAAGGUGCUCUCAAAGUAAUGCCAUUCUUUUUAAAUCGUACUGGGACAUUCAGACUAGGCAUAUUUUUACAGUAGUUCUGACAGCAAUUUUGAUUUAUGACUGAUGUGGCUCACUGCCAAUGCCAGGUCAUUCAGUUGCCCUGUGGAACAGCACCUCUCACUUCUGUUUCAAGCUUUUGAGUAAUUGGAUGUUAUCCAAAUGGCCCAUUUUGGUCAACAUUUCUGAAGGUCUUCCACAGUUUAAUUCCUUAGUUUUAGAAUAUGGAUCACAGUACUGGGUUUACUUUUCUCCUUGAGACUUUCGACUCUUACGGCACUACAGAGACCAUCGAUUCUGCCAGCUCCAAGACCACAGAAUCCAACAGCACAGUGUAUCUAUACAGCAGUGGUUUUGUGACAAAAUGAAGGUCCAAGAUGCUAAAUUUCAAACUGAUGAAGGACAUAGAUGCUUAAGCAAAUGCAACUUUGACCUGAUCAUAAUGUUAAUGGUGUGAAGAUCAAGGAGAGGAGAAAGUAUUGAAAGCUAAGCCUUUCAAAAGUUUCCCAUUGAACUGGGUUCCCAGUGCAGCAUCUGUUAGUAAUGGUCUGUGUUGUGGUUAUGGGGGCCCAUGGGGAGAAAUGCAAGAGCUACGUCAGGGCAGUGGUUUCUGGGAAUGAAGGAGAACAAAUAGAACAACACCAGGGAGACCAGGCAGAAGAAGUUCCUGAAGGUGUGUGAAAAGCAAGGGUUCUGUGGGGAAGGGCUGGAGUGGGCUGUGCUCCGGGGGUUCUGGGGCCCUGGAGGGCGGUUGUGAGCACAUCGAAAAGGCUCAGUGCAGCUAGCUCCUCAGGCUAUGCCAGUGGUGCAUAGGGUGAGUUUGUGGUAGGAAUUUAAAGGAAUGGAAGAGUCCUGCCCCAAAAACCCACAAAGCGGCUUGAGUUUUGGUGAGUGCCAGAGGCAGGUAAAUGAUUUCCCAUAGUCUGAGAUGCCCAUUCUUAUCUUGUAAUAUGAAGAAAAAAAUACCUCUUGGAGAUUCAACCCCGCAGCAUAGAUUCUUUUGCUUUACACAUUAGUACAGAAAAUACACCUUUUCUUCCCAACUGAAUUAGCUUGCUGCUGUCAUCCCUCUGGCUGCAGCUCUACCUACCUCAAGCAUGGACCACCCAGGUCUCUUUUCCUUCACACUUCCACCCAAGCCCUAUGUCCUCAGGCCCUCUGGUUCUCCGUGUUUCACUGUUGCACUGUUGGAGCUGCUGGUGAGUUCACAAGUAAAUAGUAGUGACAUUUGCUCAGUUUUUCUUCCUGUCUCCCCAGGAUCCUAAGUGCAUAUGUUCCUUUUAAUUGGAUUAAGUAUUUUCCUUGCUUUGGGGCUUAUCUUCUUUACCUGGAUGAAUAUCAGGCAGCCACAUUUCACAGGACACUCUUCGCAUUCACAGCAACUGAAAAAAACUGAGAAAACAAUGAGAAAAUUGUAGUUGCUGACAGGUCUUAAGACUUUGUAUUGAGAAACUGGCCUCUUGCCUUUCACAUUCGAGUGUCUGAUUCUGGCUGUGGAUAGUAGCUGGCUGUUGACUUGUCUGUUGGCAAACUCACAAUUUGCUGCCUUAAUCCUGUUCGAACAGGUAUGUUCUCAGAAGAUUAGGCAGGAAUAAUCUGUUCUAUUAGGGAUAGAAAGUGUGAUACAGCUGAGGAUGGUGCUGUGAAAAGUUACUGCUCUUUGUGGAUCUGUGGUGAGAAAAUUCUCCUUGAACUGCCCUUCCUUUCUGAAAAAAGCUUUCACAGGCAUCAGCUUCAGAGCCAUCUGUAAUGGUAUCCCAUCAGUAAUGAUCAUCUUCUCCUAGCAACAGUGCACUUCAUUAAUGAUGAAACAAGCAUUGUGUAAAACAGGCUGUGUUGAUUUUUUUUUUUUAGGUCAGAAGCUACCCAGCAAGUCUCUCCAACAAGCAACAACUAAGCUGUUCUCUCUGCUUGCCCCCUCAAGAAGUUGUACAAGCCUUCAAGGGACGUGGAGAUCA
Molecule: RNA transcript, 5628 nt
Organism: Pezoporus occidentalis (night parrot)
Lineage: Eukaryota; Metazoa; Chordata; Aves; Psittaciformes; Psittacidae
Gene: CARF
Gene name: calcium responsive transcription factor
Exons: 18
Source: RefSeq, a predicted model, not a curated record